CACGUAGGGCGCAAGCGUUGUCCGGAAUUAUUGGGCGUAAAGAGCGCGCAGGCGGUCUGACAAGUCAGAUGUGAAAGAGGCCGGCUUAACCGGCAAGGGUCAUUUGAAACUGUCAGACUAGAGUGCAGCAGAGGAUAGUGGAAUUCCCGGUGUAGUGGUGAAAUGCGUAGAUAUCGGGAGGAACACCAGUGGCGAAGGCGACUAUCUGGGCUGCAACUGACGCUGAGGCGCGAAGGCUAGGGUAGCAAACAGG
Molecule: ribosomal RNA, 253 nt
Filed under: uncultured bacterium
Lineage: Bacteria
Description: partial 16S ribosomal RNA
Rfam family: Bacterial small subunit ribosomal RNA
Source: RNAcentral